GCGGCAUGCUUUACACAUGCAAGUCGAACGGUAACAGGGAGCUUGCUCCGCUGACGAGUGGCGAACGGGUGAGUAAUAUAUCGGAACGUACCCAAGAGUGGGGGAUAACGUAGCGAAAGUUACGCUAAUACCGCAUACGAUCUAUGGAUGAAAGCAGGGGACCUUCGGGCCUUGUGCUCCUGGAGCGGCCGAUAUCUGAUUAGCUAGUUGGUGAGGUAAAGGCUCACCAAGGCGACGAUCAGUAGCUGGUCUGAGAGGACGACCAGCCACACUGGAACUGAGACACGGUCCAGACUCCUACGGGAGGCAGCAGUGGGGAAUUUUGGACAAUGGGCGCAAGCCUGAUCCAGCAAUGCCGCGUGAGUGAAGAAGGCCUUCGGGUUGUAAAGCUCUUUUGUCAGGGAAGAAACGGCUGUGGCUAAUAUCCACGGCUAAUGACGGUACCUGAAGAAUAAGCACCGGCUAACUACGUGCCAGCAGCCGCGGUAAUACGUAGGGUGCAACCGUUAAUCGGAAUUACUGGGCGUAAAGCGUGCGCAGGCGGUUUUGUAAGUCUGUCGUGAAAUCCCCGGGCUCAACCUGGGAAUUGCGAUGGAGACUGCAAGGCUAGAAUCUGGCAGAGGGGGGUAGAAUUCCACGUGUAGCAGUGAAAUGCGUAGAGAUGUGGAGGAACACCGAUGGCGAAGGCAGCCCCCUGGGUCAAGAUUGACGCUCAUGCACGAAAGCGUGGGGAGCAAACAGGAUUAGAUACCCUGGUAGUCCACGCCCUAAACGAUGUCUACUAGUUGUCGGGUUUUAAUUAACUUGGUAACGCAGCUAACGCGUGAAGUAGACCGCCUGGGGAGUACGGUCGCAAGAUUAAAACUCAAAGGAAUUGACGGGGACCCGCACAAGCGGUGGAUGAUGUGGAUUAAUUCGAUGCAACGCGAAAAACCUUACCUACCC
RNAcentral lists this ribosomal RNA (945 nucleotides) under Massilia timonae. Its description in RNAcentral is "bacterial SSU rRNA". It matches the Rfam family "Bacterial small subunit ribosomal RNA", at positions 39 to 980 of the family's 1533-position model. Lineage: Bacteria; Pseudomonadati; Pseudomonadota; Betaproteobacteria; Burkholderiales; Oxalobacteraceae. The record is from RNAcentral.